This 253-nucleotide unclassified non-coding RNA is filed under the name Paraglomus occultum. Its description in RNAcentral is "partial contains 5.8S ribosomal RNA and internal transcribed spacer 2". The record is from RNAcentral. Lineage: Eukaryota; Fungi; Glomeromycota; Glomeromycetes; Paraglomerales; Paraglomeraceae.
GUGAAUCAUCAAAUUUUUGAACGCAAAUUGCGCCUUUUUCGGAAGUCAUGUCUGUUUGAGGGCACCAUUUAACAAAUAAUGUGCAGCGUUUUUUGCGGCACACGUUGAUGAGCUUUCCAAUAAUAAUAAAUUUUGUGUGGCGCAUAAUGAACAUCGUGAAAGUUUUUUUCAGUUCGAGUGUAGUAAAAACUUUGCUUUGUUUGUAAAAAAACAUAAUCGUGCAUUUGGUAAUGCAGUUUCUUUUUAUCCCUUC